GCUCCAAUAGCGUAUAUUUAAGUUGUUGCAGUUAAAAAGCUCGUAGUUGGACCUUGGGAUGGGCCGGCCGGUCCGCCUCUGGGUGUGCACCGGUCGUCUCGUCCUUCUGCCGGCGAUUCGUGCCUUGCCUUAACUGGCCGGGCCGCACCACCGGCGCUGUUACUUUGAAGAAAUUAGAGUGCUCAAAGCAAGCCUACGCU
RNAcentral lists this ribosomal RNA (200 nucleotides) under uncultured eukaryote. RNAcentral's name for it is "partial 18S ribosomal RNA". It matches the Rfam family "Eukaryotic small subunit ribosomal RNA", at positions 588 to 795 of the family's 1831-position model. The record is from RNAcentral.